AGUAGCAAAUAUUCAAAUGA
Molecule: non-coding RNA, 20 nt
Filed under: Arabidopsis thaliana (thale cress)
Lineage: Eukaryota; Viridiplantae; Streptophyta; Magnoliopsida; Brassicales; Brassicaceae
Source: RNAcentral